AGCUCGGGGAAGGCGAGGCGGCUAUCCGAAGGAGCAGCGCCCUCAUCUAACCCCGCUUUUCUUUUCCUCAGCAGGCAGCGAGGGGCGGGGGGGAGGGGGGAUCGUUUUCUAUAGUGUGUCGUACUGCAGUGCACGCUCUCCGCCUCGCCCCCCUCAUCGUCGGGCAGGCCGGCUGCUCAGUGCUGUGGUGCGUAGAGGGAACGGCCGUGCGGCGGCUCCCGGGAGACCGCGGCCCCGUGGAAGAGCAGCAGCAGCAGCACGACUCGCCUGCAUCAGCCGCGGCCGGGCCCGGGCCGUGCUCGUUUGUGUGCCCAGCUCAAGAGCGUUUCGGAAGAUUUACGUGGAUGGGUGCCAGACGAGGUUAAUGGGCAAAAAUCGUUUGCAGACAUUGGAACCUUAUCUUAGACUGGCCUAAACACGACCAGACUCAUGUAGUAUCAAAAUGUAUCAAAACAAGCAGCCAUCAUAAUCCUUAAGGAUAAAAUACAGGAAAAAAAAAAGCAAAUUACUAUAUCAUUUUAUAUAUUGCGGUUUAUACACAAUCAAUCAUGAAACUUAGUGAGAUUCUGCUGUGAGAUAGGCUUGGGAUCACACUGGAAGUUAUUUGCUUUCCAACACCUCUGAAGUUAAGUGCAGGGUGUCUCUAAGAGUGUAGAGAUAAUUAGAGGAGAUGACAUUUUGUAUGUUGGAAAUCACAUGGAAAUUAAAAAGUACUGUUAAAAUGACAAGCUUAGUGUAAGACUCAAAAACAUGCACGAGACAGAUUUCAAAUGUCUUACUGAAAAAAGCUCAAGUGGAUGUGCAUAAAGAAAAAGGGAUAUGUGAGUGAUUUAGAUGUAUUAGAGCAAAUGUAUAAUGUAUUUCUUGUGUUUCUUUAGUAUUUUAUAAUUUUCUGUGUGAGAAACCUUACACUCUUUCAGUCUCUUUCCUCAGCUGAUCAUACAGUAUAGCAUCACCAUGCUUAUUUUUAGCAUCACAUUAAUUUCUGUAGUAAUAAGGGAUUAUCUCACUGGAGGGAGGUGAAGUAGAAAGUUUCUCAUGAGACAUCUAUAGGAAAGACCAAAAAAAGUAUUGGCUUAAAACCUUCCUUUUGAUUUGACAUUUAUUCUUCCAGAAGGACUUGCCUGCUGAUUUUCUGGGCUUUAUGGAGACUCAUCAUUAAAAACAUCUUGGGCUGUUUUGGUUUGCCCUAGCUGGUGGGAGGAAUCUUUUAUUCAUUCUUGAGGAGUGUAUAACUUUCUGAAAUGUGACAUAUCCCAGGUCUGUAUGGGAUCUCUGUUAAUGUAUUGCUGUUAAAGAGGAUAUUUUUUCAAUUAUUUGUACAUUUUUCUACGAUGAAGUGUUGAUAUGUUCAUACUGCUAUUCUUUUGAUGUCAUAGACUGCACAUUUUUCUUUAAUGAUUCAGUAAAAUGCAUGUCUCCUUGAGAGCAGGCAUGUUUUUUUGUCACUUGAAAGCGCAAUUGUUUACUUGACUGAAAAGCAGUGUACAGUACAGCUAAAACAGGCAGUGGUACAGGAUGGCACAAUAGCAAUUCUGAGUUCAGCAUUGUUAAUGAAUAGCUGAACAGCCAGGUUAUAUACAGUUUGAUUAUAAACCUUCAAUUAGAAGCCAGAAAAUGAGUUAUGUUAGAACUUCUGCUGUGAAAUGACUGCACUUACAAAAUGAACAAUAAUUUGAGUGUCUUGAUUAAAUUAUUACUGAAGCUAUUAUAAAACUUGCUCUAUUAAUAAUGAGUGACGGCUAAAAAUAAGAAAAUGAAUGAAUGAAGUAUCACUAGAUCUACCUUUGAAUAUUUUUUCCCUUCACUGUUUUCUACUGUAUAUAUUUUAUACAGUAGCUUAGUGUAGAUCCCUUAUCAUAUGUAAUUGAACUUGCUGAUUUGCUCUCUCCCUUUUCUCUAGAAAUCUCUCUCUAAAACUGUUUUGCUCAAUUAAGGAGUUCCAUGGGUGGACUCUUAGUUCUUUUCAGAGCGAUUGUCACCUGAGAAAUUAUUUCCAGUAUGAAUCUGCAAAUCAGUUAAAUGGAAUACUUUGAACAAUGUCAACUUCCUACACUAUGUGGGUACAGUUUUAAGGAGAUUUUGUCAUUGUAACAACUUCUACGAGAGAAAAAAUACAUUUACCUUUGCAAUGUUUUCUCUUUGUGCAGUUCUGAAUAUCUGGUUUUUUGUCCAACACUUUAGCAUUUCUAAUCUUACCAUUCAUCUUUUGUUUUAUGAUUAUUGCACUUUCUGAUUAAGAAUAUAAUAGUGUUAGCAUCCCACAUGUAGGAUUAUAGCAUAACUUAAUUCCUGAUGUCAUUCCUUUAUUUUCUCUUCUGUGUCCUUUCUAUUCUUCUCUCGCUGUCCCUCUCAUCUCUUUCACCCUCCCUUUGUGGAAAGAAUAACUUUCAGGUGUUAAUUUAACUGGUGGAUUGGUUUACUGAUGAAGACUCCUUGAUUUAAGGGCAUUUUAAGAAGUUCUGACAACCUCAUCAAAUUGUUCCUGUAAUUUCCAUUUUGUGUUCUUCCUUUCUAGUAGUUUCCCCCUCCUCAGUUCAGAUACUGUCACUCAGCAAUUCAUUUGACACAAUUGAACAUACUUUCUUUUUUCUUUUUCCUCCCCCAGCUGCAGCAGAUCCUCUUUUGGAGAUUCCCAGUAUUGUUCCUAAUUGCUUGUUUGCCCCUCCCCACAAAAAGGGUGUCAUAAUAUUCCCUUGUGACAGGUAAAAAAUAAGCUUUUUGUGUCUACACUGCAAAAUAAAUGUAAACCACUUUUGUAAUGUACGGAUCA
Molecule: long non-coding RNA, 2773 nt
Filed under: Cyanistes caeruleus (blue tit)
Lineage: Eukaryota; Metazoa; Chordata; Aves; Passeriformes; Paridae
Description: lncRNA (ENSCCEG00000016925.1)
Source: RNAcentral